This 512-nucleotide ribosomal RNA is filed under the name uncultured bacterium. Its description in RNAcentral is "bacterial SSU rRNA". It matches the Rfam family "Bacterial small subunit ribosomal RNA", at positions 36 to 507 of the family's 1533-position model. The record is from RNAcentral.
CUGGCGGCGUGCCUAAUACAUGCAAGUCGAACGCGACUCUCGUUUAGAUUGAAGGAGCUUGCUCCUGAUUGAUAAACAUUUGAGUGAGUGGCGACGGGUGAGCAACACGUGGGUAACCAGCCCUAAGUGGGGGAUAACAUUUGGAAACAGAUGCUAAUACCGCAUAAAACCUAACACCGCAUGGUGUAGGGUUGAAAGAUGGUUUCGGCUAUCACUUUAGGAUGGACCCGCGGUGCAUUAGUUAGUUGGUGAGGUAAAGGCUCACCAAGACCGUGAUGCAUAGCCGACCUGAGAGGGUAAUCGGCCACACUGGGACUGAGACACGGCCCAGACUCCUACGGGAGGCAGCAGUAGGGAAUCUUCCACAAUGGACGAAAGUCUGAUGGAGCAACGCCGCGUGAGUGAAGAAGGUUUUCGGAUCGUAAAACUCUGUUGUUGGAGAAGAAUGUAUCUCGAUAGUAACUGAUCAGGUAGUGACGGUAUCCAACCAGAAAGCCACGGCUAACUACGUG